GUGUUCUCAGGUCACCCCUGC
This 21-nucleotide small RNA is filed under the name Arabidopsis thaliana (thale cress). RNAcentral's name for it is "Ath_wt_00214". Lineage: Eukaryota; Viridiplantae; Streptophyta; Magnoliopsida; Brassicales; Brassicaceae. The record is from RNAcentral.